This 153-nucleotide ribosomal RNA is filed under the name uncultured bacterium. RNAcentral describes it as "partial 16S ribosomal RNA". It matches the Rfam family "Bacterial small subunit ribosomal RNA", at positions 355 to 504 of the family's 1533-position model. The record is from RNAcentral.
UGGGGAAUAUUGGACAAUGGGCGCAAGCCUGAUCCAGCCAUGCCGCGUGGGUGAUGAAGGCCCUAGGGUUGUAAAGCCCUUUCGGCGGGGAAGGCCUCGGGAUAACACCUCUGGGUCUUGACCUAACCCACAGAAAAAGCACCGGCUAACUCU